Molecule: transfer RNA, 73 nt
Filed under: Bos indicus x Bos taurus (hybrid cattle)
Lineage: Eukaryota; Metazoa; Chordata; Mammalia; Artiodactyla; Bovidae
Rfam family: tRNA
About the family: Transfer RNA (tRNA) molecules are approximately 80 nucleotides in length. Their secondary structure includes four short double-helical elements and three loops (D, anti-codon, and T loops).
Source: Rfam by way of RNAcentral
CCCUUGGUAGUCCAGUGUCUAAGACUCUACACUCUUAAUGCAGAGGACCCAGGUUCUAUCCCUGGUCAGGGAA